Molecule: unclassified non-coding RNA, 755 nt
Filed under: Hevea brasiliensis (rubber tree)
Lineage: Eukaryota; Viridiplantae; Streptophyta; Magnoliopsida; Malpighiales; Euphorbiaceae
Source: RNAcentral
UUUCUUUCUGCUUACAACCUACCCCUCUCUCCCUCUUGAUUGUGCAUGUCGGAUCCCUAUCAUCCGCGCACUUCAUACAAUUAGGGUUCAAUCUUUCUAAAUUCUUUUCCCAACAACGAACUUCAUUCCAUUAUUGAAAUUAUCAGCCCUUCACUGAGAUCAUAAACAAUGGAAAACGACAACAACGCCACCACAAACACCACCGGCAUCGUAUCCAUGGAGAACCUCAAUCAGGUUGCCAACUGGGUUAGCGCCACCGUGAUCUCCGCCUUCUUCUCGUCCCUCGAGCGUUUUUCUUGCGUUAAUGUUGCUACCACCGACCCCGACGACGAUGAUAAUGAAGAUGAGGCCAAGGACAGUCCUCUCGCUCUCACCACCAACCCCCAUCAACGCGACGAUGUCUCUGACCUCCCAGUUUGAUUAUCCAAUCAAAAAUUCCCCUCGCUAUUUGUGGUAUCGCUUCCCUGCUUAUCCCCUCUCAAAACCCCAAGGCCCCCAAGUUUCAACAUUUGUGUUUUGUUUGUGGAUUUUCUGGGUUUUAUUAAUACAAAUCGUUAUACCGUGAUUAUUGUUAUAAUGAUUGUUACCCUUAUGAAGUUUGAAUUCGUUUCUGUCAUGUGAGGCUCAUUGCUUAAUUGAGCUUCUUCUACAUUGGUGUGUUUCGAUGAUUUAGUUUUCUUUUUACUAUAUAUAAACGUGCCUAUUCUAGAGUUAAAUAUUUUGACGAUAAUUGUCUCUCUGUCCUUCUCGAGAUG